Long non-coding RNA from Bos indicus x Bos taurus (hybrid cattle), 424 nucleotides. Lineage: Eukaryota; Metazoa; Chordata; Mammalia; Artiodactyla; Bovidae. The record is from Ensembl.
GGUGGCUCAGACGGUAAAGAAUCUGCCUGCAAUGCGGGAGACCUGUGUUUGAUCCCUGGGUUCAGUCUCCUGGAGGAGGGCAUGAUAACCCACUCUAAUAUUCUUGCCUGGGGAAUCCCCAUGGACAGAGGAGCCUGGCCAGCUACAGUCCAUGGGGUUGCAAAGAGUUGGACAGGACUGAUCGACUAAGCACAGCACAUGUUUUCUAACACAGGAUGGAAGAGAGUGACCUCUCUGUCAGAUACACUCGGGCCAGCUGUGCUCCCCUUGGAAGGUCACCCAUCAUUUCAGGAAAAGACAGUCUGGAGCUGGAGAAGAGGGAAGGUGGUGCCAUGACAAGCCCUUGGAAGAAUUAUUUUAGGACAGGUAGGUUCUUGCUCUCUGGCAAGCCAAGUCUUUUCUCUGCUCAGGAAGCCAAGUCUUC